ACCAACAGGGAUUGCCCUAGUAACGGCGAGUGAAGCGGCAACAGCUCAAAUUUGAAAUCUGGCUCUUUCAGAGUCCGAGUUGUAAUUUGCAGAGGGCGCUUUGGCUUUGGCAGCGGUCCAAGUUCCUUGGAACAGGACGUCACAGAGGGUGAGAAUCCCGUACGUGGUCGCUAGCUAUUGCCGUGUAAAGCCCCUUCGACGAGUCGAGUUGUUUGGGAAUGCAGCUCUAAAUGGGAGGUAAAUUUCUUCUAAAGCUAAAUAUUGGCCAGAGACCGAUAGCGCACAAGUAGAGUGAUCGAAAGAUGAAAAGCACUUUGGAAAGAGAGUCAAACAGCACGUGAAAUUGUUGAAAGGGAAGCGCUUGCAGCCAGACUUGCUUGCAGUUGCUCAUCCGGGCUUUUGCCCGGUGCACUCUUCUGCAGGCAGGCCAGCAUCAGUUUGGGCGGUGGGAUAAAGGUCUCUGACACGUUCCUUCCUUCGGGUUGGCCAUAUAGGGGAGACGUCAUACCACCAGCCUGGACUGAGGUCCGCGCAUCUGCUAGGAUGCUGGCGUAAUGGCUGUAAGCGGCCCGUCUUGAAACACGGACCAAGGAGUCUAACAUCUAUGCGAGUGUUUGGGUGUCAAGCCCGAGCGCGUAAUGAAAGUGAACGGAGGUGGGAACCCGCAAGGGUGCACCAUCGACCGAUCCUGAAGUUUACGGAAGGAUUUGAGUAAGAGCAUGGCUGUUGGGACCCGAAAGAUGGUGAACUAUGCUUGAAUAGGGUGAAGCCAGAGGAAACUCUGGUGGAGGCUCGCAGCGGUUCUGACGUGCAAAUCGAUCGUCAAAUUUGGGCAUAGGGGCGAAAGACUAAUCGAACUAUCUAGUAGCUGGUUCCUGCCGA
Molecule: ribosomal RNA, 882 nt
Filed under: Curvularia lunata
Lineage: Eukaryota; Fungi; Ascomycota; Dothideomycetes; Pleosporales; Pleosporaceae
Description: eukaryotic LSU rRNA
Rfam family: Eukaryotic large subunit ribosomal RNA
Source: RNAcentral